RNAcentral lists this unclassified non-coding RNA (1004 nucleotides) under Hevea brasiliensis (rubber tree). The record is from RNAcentral. Lineage: Eukaryota; Viridiplantae; Streptophyta; Magnoliopsida; Malpighiales; Euphorbiaceae.
CGCUUGGAGAAAACGAACAAACACACACAACUGAAAUUGCGGGAAGGGACAAAAAUAAGAGGAAUCCGCCAUGUCAUCACAUAUCUCCGGCACCAGCGCUGCCAUGACUCCGCCGUUGGACCGUAGCGGAGACUUCGAGGUUGCUACUGAAGAAUCCGGAGACUACGUUAUUGGUUUGGAGUCGGGGACGUCUGAAGCUCAGUUCAUCGGAGAAAAUGGACCGAUUCUCCCUCCACCAGAACGUAUGGUAGCGGAGGAAGGUUUUGCCCUGAGAGAGUGGCGACGAUUGAACGCCAUACGGCUGGAGGAAAAGGAGAAAAGGGAGAAAGAAAUUGUUAGGGAAAUAAUUGAAGAAGCAGAGGAAUACAAAGCAGAGUACUAUAGGAAAUGGAAACUUAGAUGUGAGAACAAUGUAGCUGCUAACCGGGAGAAGGAGAAGUUAUUCUUGGCCAACCAAGAGAAGUUCCAUACUGAAGCUAAUAAGGCUUAUUGGAGGGCAAUCGGAGAGCUUAUUCCAAAGGAGGUCCCGUCCAUAGAAAAGAAAGGAAAGAAGGAUAAGGAGAAGCAGCCAUUCAUCAAUGUCAUUCAAGGACCCAAACCUGGCAGGCCAACUGAACUCUCUAGAAUGCGUCAAAUACUUGUGAAACUCAAACACAACCCGCCUGAGCAUAUGAAGCCUUCUGCAAAACCAUCUUUGGAACCAAGAAAAGAUGCAAAGACAGGAACAGAAACUUCUGUUACUGCCUCUGCAAAGCCUCAAGCUACUACUGCUGCACCUUGAAGGUUUAUCCUCUGCUGCACAAUGAAAAUGCUACUAUGUUGAUCUCGUAAAGCAGUCGUCCUUUACGUUAACUUAAAUGUUAUGAGUUUGAGAACAACUCCUAUCAGAAAGUCUUUACCUUCAUUUCUAGUUUUAGGAGCUAAUAUGUGCAUAGAGAAAAGUUUCUAUCCUGUUCUGUGUUCAUAGUCUCUGCUGUAAACUUCAUCUUCAUAUCUGAAAUUUG